GACGAACGCUGGCGGCGUGCUUAACACAUGCAAGUCGAACGAAGAGCGAUGGUACCUUUCUUAUCUCAAUCUUAGUGGCAAGCGGGAGUGUAACGCGGAAUCAACCUGCCCUUCAGAGGGGGACAACAGUUGGAAACGACUUCUAAUACCGCAUACGAUCUAACCACGGCAUCUAGGAUAGAUGAAAGGUGUCCUCUACAUGUAAGCUAUUACUGCAUUAUGUUAGUGCGUCGGAUUAGCUAGUUGGAGGGGUAACGGCCCACCAAGGCGAUGAUAAGUAGCCGGCCUGAGAGGAUGAACGGCCACAUUGGGACUGAGACACGGCCCAGACUCCUACGGGAGGCAGCAGUAGGGAAUCUUCGGCAAUGGACGAAAGUCUGACGGAGCAACGCCGCGUGAGUGAUGAAGGUCUUCGGGUUGUAAAGCUCUGUUAAUCGGGAAGAAAGGCCUUUUUGCGAAUAGGGAGAAGGAUUGACGGUACCGGAACAGAAAGCCACGGCUAACUACGUG
Molecule: ribosomal RNA, 510 nt
Filed under: uncultured bacterium
Lineage: Bacteria
Description: partial 16S ribosomal RNA
Rfam family: Bacterial small subunit ribosomal RNA
Source: RNAcentral